GAUGAACGCUGGCGGCGUGCCUAAUACAUGCAAGUCGAGCGAACAGACGAGGAGCUUGCUCCUCUGACGUUAGCGGCGGACGGGUGAGUAACACGUGGAUAACCUACCUAUAAGACUGGGAUAACUUCGGGAAACCGGAGCUAAUACCGGAUAAUAUAUUGAACCGCAUGGUACAAUAGUGAAAGACGGUUUUGCUGUCACUUAUAGAUGGAUCCGCGCCGCAUUAGCUAGUUGGUAAGGUAACGGCUUACCAAGGCAACGAUGCGUAGCCGACCUGAGAGGGUGAUCGGCCACACUGGAACUGAGACACGGUCCAGACUCCUACGGGAGGCAGCAGUAGGGAAUCUUCCGCAAUGGGCGAAAGCCUGACGGAGCAACGCCGCGUGAGUGAUGAAGGUCUUCGGAUCGUAAAACUCUGUUAUUAGGGAAGAACAAAUGUGUAAGUAACUAUGCACGUCUUGACGGUACCUAAUCAGAAAGCCACGGCUAACUUCGUG
Molecule: ribosomal RNA, 497 nt
Filed under: uncultured bacterium
Lineage: Bacteria
Description: partial 16S ribosomal RNA
Rfam family: Bacterial small subunit ribosomal RNA
Source: RNAcentral